This is a non-coding RNA of Fukomys damarensis (Damara mole-rat), 108 nucleotides long. The record is from Rfam. Lineage: Eukaryota; Metazoa; Chordata; Mammalia; Rodentia; Bathyergidae.
GUAUUCUAUUCAGCAGCUCUUAGAGUCAAACAGGAACGAUACAGAGAAAAGUAGCAGGGCCCCUGUGCAAGGUCGACACAGUAGAGUUCCACAAUUAAAAAAAUACAU